CUACAGAGAGUCAUAAACGGGGCUGGGAAGAACUGAGUACAGGGAAGUGGGAUAAAAGUUUGACGUGAUCAGACAGUAGAUCAGAGACUGUUUCACCCGGAGCCGGCUUAUUCUCAGGAGGGCUGUGUGCUGGCCUGAGUGAGGGGCAAAGUUCAGGCACUUGGCGGAAGGAGAGAAGCACAAAAUCAAGGUUCUCUCCUACACUACCUACACCACAGGGAUUCAGCCAUGAAAAACAACAACUAACACCCUACGCCCGUGGAGCUUUCAGCUAGUGGGAGAGCUAGUCAAAUGCUUGAGUUCCAACCUGUAGACCCUCCCAGACAGCAAAUCAUGAAGCUGCUUAGAAAAGAAAACUGAAAGUUAAGAAUGGAGAAGAAAUCACUGAGUUUGGUUCAAAACAUUCCAGCUCUUAACGACAAUGUGUGACAACAUCCCAGAAACAUGACACAGUGGGUAAAGGUGACUUGGAGUGAGGACAAACCAGC
This 488-nucleotide long non-coding RNA is filed under the name Equus caballus (horse). RNAcentral describes it as "lncRNA (ENSECAG00000058602.1)". Lineage: Eukaryota; Metazoa; Chordata; Mammalia; Perissodactyla; Equidae. The record is from RNAcentral.